Pimephales promelas (fathead minnow) is the source of this 1196-nucleotide non-coding RNA. NCBI's taxonomy places the organism in Eukaryota, Metazoa, Chordata, Actinopteri, Cypriniformes, Leuciscidae. The record is from RefSeq and is a predicted model, not a curated record.
UACCAUUUGUACAGAACAAAAUUAUUAUGCCUAUGGAAAGUGAAUGAGUGAGCAAGCCCUGCGAUGGACUGGGAGAGGCUCCAGCCCCCAGUAACAAUAGUAAAGGAUAAAGCAUCGGACAAUCAUUCUGACUUUGCACACGUGUUUUUCUAUAACAAAACAUGGCAGGUAGAUUUGUAGUAGUGUGAGUUAUGAAGGAAAAAGUUCAAAGACGGCCUUCCUUGUAUCUCAUCCAAAUGGUGCUCACUGCAGAGCCAAAUGACAUCCAGCUCCGCCUCUCUGGACAUGACGGGUGGAGAUUGACCUAGUUCAGCUAAUGGGUGGAGUUAUGAACAACUAUAGGGUUACGAGUUACGGUGGUUUGACCGUCUAGCUGACAUCAAGCUCUCUGCAGUGAGCAGCAUCUGAGCAGGAUUUUCCGAGAGCUCUUACAGAGAUGAAGUGUGUGUCCUGUGCUGUUCAUCAGAGGGGGCUUUCACUGACCCUCAUUCACUCAGAUGAAGCAUCUCAUCUAUGAGAUGACACGCUGAAGAGCGAGUCUAAUUCUAAAAACAGACAUGUCAAAUCAGCGGCAAACUACUCGAGUGGCGUGCGGGUUACCAUUCAUGCUAUUUUCAGUCUGUUGUGAUAGAACGGAGCUUGCGGAGCACGUUAACUGACUAAAUAGGCUUCACGCUGCUUCUGCUUGACACCAUAUGAGAGUGUGCCAUCCGUGAGCCCGUUUCCUAAGGUGCAUGUUAUCUUCUUCCUCUACAGAUGAGUGCAGUUGGCAGCUCCUGUUGGGGUUCUCCGGAAGGGCAGAUCCUGGUUCACGUGCUGCAGAAACUGGCGCUGUCUACUGGGUCUCAAUCAGACAUGACAGUGGGAUCAGUAGCUGCAGAGAUUCUGAAGUCCAUCGGGUCCCAGGCAGAAUUGAGGUCCUCUCCUGCUAUUUAAUGUGUGUAUAGACUUGUAAAUUAUAUUUUCGCAACAGACUACUGAACACUUUUUAAAAAGUAUUCCAGAAUUUUUUUCAAAAAUAAAAAAGUUCACAAAAUUAAAUUUAGUCCAUUUUAUUGUUUAGCCAGGUCAUAACCAAGUCUCCAACCAACAAUUGCAGGCUACAAUAAUUAGGGGUUCUUUUCAAAACCUUUCUAAAGCUACCAUCAAAAAAAUAGAUCAAGACAAGGAAAAAAAAAAGAAAUGAAAAAAAGAAA